AGCUCUGCGGGAGUGGCAGGGCCCCCCAGCCCUGCUAGGGAGGGAAGGCAGUUAUUGGCUUCCAUCAGCCCUUCCAGAGAGAACAGCAGUCCACAGACCAGCUCGUCAGGGGGCCAAGGGACUGCCCACCCAGUCCUGACAAGGAUACAGUGCUUGCGCUGGUGCUGGGAAGAUGGGGCGUGCCAGGCUAAGGGCUGUGUGGGGGAUAUGGGCACAAUCAGUAGAGUAAUAGUGAAGGGAGGGACAAGAGGAGGCUGGGGCCGGGGCAUACGAUGAGCCCCCAGCUCAACACCCAGUGCCAGUACCAGUAGGACCCAGAGGGUUGGCACAGCACGAGCACCCAAGGAAGGCAGGCCCUGGGGUCUGUUCCCCCAGUGGGUGGCUGUGCCCCAAUCCACUAUGCUAAUGGGAGGCCCCAGGAGCUGCCUUUGAAGCCCUUCCCCAAACACCACUUGCCAUCUUCUGCGCGGCCCUGAGUAAGUCACCUAACCUCUCUGGAGCCUCCAUUUCCUGUCUACACAAUGGAAGUGAACAUACUCACCAAGUGACGGACCAGCAGGCUCAGGCCUGUAGGCGUUCAGGGAGAGCCCAGCGCAGAGUGCUCAGUGAGUGGGGGCCAUGGUGAGCCGACCAGUUCGUCACCAACCCUGCUGCCCUGGAAGCAAGCUCUCCUGCCUCAUCUACCCUGGCCCACAAGUGCCCUGGAGCCCUGGGUCUGCCCUGCUGCUGCGCCUCUGACUACCACUCACGGUGUGCCCUGCUUCCUUCUGUUCGUCGGGGCUAGGGGU
Molecule: long non-coding RNA, 788 nt
Organism: Symphalangus syndactylus (siamang)
Lineage: Eukaryota; Metazoa; Chordata; Mammalia; Primates; Hylobatidae
Source: RefSeq, a predicted model, not a curated record